CUCGACAACAGAUGAUAAAAUAAUCUCUAAGUUAUGGUUUUACUACUUCUAGCUUAACUGGUGAAGAGAGUAGAUCAGGUGGAAGUACCAAAUAGGUCAGAUGUGAUGGCAGCGACAAGAAGCCCGAUCCGAUCCUCUGCGGAGAAGUCAUUGUCAUCUGUGACAGAGUAAAGGUACCAAACCAUGUCUCUUUUCCCGAGAAGCACAGCCAUAUAGAGAGGCGUUGCUCCUUUACUGCCUCUAACAAGUGGCAACUUCCUGUUCUUGUUCACUAACACUUUUGCUAUCUCAGUCAGACCCGAGACUGCAGCGAAACACAGGGCUGUAUUCCCGACCUUGUUCUGGAGAGCUAGAUCAUCAGGCGACAUCUUCUUAACCAGCUUUCGAACAAACACCGUAUGCCUUGCUCCCGCAGCAAUGUGAAGUGCAGUUUCCAGGCCCCUUGUGAUGUAAGCUCGGAUUGCGGUAGGGUGCCAUUGCAGGUAUGACUUAGCUGUUCGCCAAUCUCCUUUAAGUGCAGCGAGAUAGAGCGGAACAUGUCUAGGAUGGCCUUUGAAUCUUUUGUCCCCUGGCCCAGCCAAGAGUUCAACUUGUCACACAUUCUCAUAUUAGCCAUAUCAACAUUCUUCAAACACAUUAGAAACAAAAAACUUAAAUUAGUCGUGUCAUGAACCGUGCAUCCCAAUAACUUGAGUUGUUAGGAGAAGGUUCAAAUUGACCUUUUUAUAUCAUUCAUUAACGAGCUGAGCCAUGAUCUUACCUAACUUGGCACCUUCCACCAAGGGGGAACAGCUCAUGUUGGAUGGAGCAGUGUCGAGAGCCGAGUUCUCAUUAGAUGCCUGCAAUGUGAGUACAGGGGCAAAGGUGGCCACCUUAUAUCCUUCCGAGUUGCGAGCAGGGGAAGCACGAGGAAACUGGUUCUGAAUGUCAAAGCUCCGUCUUACACCACCGGAGAAAGGGGAACCA
Molecule: long non-coding RNA, 966 nt
Filed under: Linum usitatissimum (flax)
Lineage: Eukaryota; Viridiplantae; Streptophyta; Magnoliopsida; Malpighiales; Linaceae
Description: long non-coding RNA (LUSI_LNC004662)
Source: RNAcentral